Molecule: microRNA, 21 nt
Filed under: Bos taurus (domestic cattle)
Lineage: Eukaryota; Metazoa; Chordata; Mammalia; Artiodactyla; Bovidae
Description: bta-miR-2299-3p
Source: miRBase by way of RNAcentral
UCCGGGGAAUGGAUCCAGCGU